AGCAUCCGUAGCCGGCUGCUCAAGUUUCCGGUUAAAUCCACACGCUUAACGUAUGGGCUGCCGGAAAUACUGUUCAGCUAGGGAGUGGGAGAGGUAGACGGUACUCGAUAGGAAGGGGUAGAAUCCUUUGAUCUAUUGAUGACCACCUGUGGCGAAGGCGGUGUACCAGAACACGUUCGACGGUGAGGGAUGAAAGCUGGGGGAGCAAACCGGAUUAGAUACCCGGGUAGUCCCAGCUGUAAACGAUGCAGACUCGGUGAUGCAUUGGCUUGUGGCCAAUGCAGUGCCGCAGGGAAGCCGUUAAGUCUGCCGCCUGGGAAGUACGUACGCAAGUAUGAAACUUAAAGGAAUUGGCGGGGGAGCACAAGCCGAA
This 373-nucleotide ribosomal RNA is filed under the name uncultured Nitrososphaerota archaeon. Its description in RNAcentral is "bacterial SSU rRNA". It matches the Rfam family "Archaeal small subunit ribosomal RNA", at positions 514 to 889 of the family's 1478-position model. The record is from RNAcentral. Lineage: Archaea; Thermoproteati; Nitrososphaerota.